This 373-nucleotide long non-coding RNA is filed under the name Capra hircus (goat). Its description in RNAcentral is "lncRNA (ENSCHIG00000002333.1)". Lineage: Eukaryota; Metazoa; Chordata; Mammalia; Artiodactyla; Bovidae. The record is from RNAcentral.
GUUCUCGCGAGAAGGAGCUCCCAAACAUGGCUGCCGCCAGUGUCUGUGUUUCUGGAAGGAGCUGCAGGCGACUCCCCCACCACCUCUCCAGGAGCCUCUCCAAGACCCGCAGAUCUGCCUCCACCUCCGGAAGCUGCCAAGGUUUUGAACCAACAGAGGCAGAAGAUGGAGAACAGAAUACUGCUCAUGGGAACAAGCUUUGGAAUUAAUAUCUAGUUUGGAAAGAGAUCAGAGGGACAACUUUGAAUGAUCUUUGCGCUUUAGUUUUAUUAAAUGGAAAGUAUAAAAAUGACAUUGAAGGUAGUAUUAGUAGUGAGAAUCUCAUAAUCCUGUCAUCUGAAAGCAGCCAUUUUAAUCAUUGCAUGUUUCACAC